This 250-nucleotide ribosomal RNA is filed under the name uncultured bacterium. RNAcentral describes it as "partial 16S ribosomal RNA". It matches the Rfam family "Bacterial small subunit ribosomal RNA", at positions 524 to 773 of the family's 1533-position model. The record is from RNAcentral.
UACGGAGGGAGCUAGCGUUGUUCGGAAUUACUGGGCGUAAAGCGCACGUAGGCGGCUACACAAGUCAGAGGUGAAAGCCCGGGGCUCAACCCCGGAACUGCCUUUGAAACUAGGUGGCUAGAAUCUUGGAGAGGUCAGUGGAAUUCCGAGUGUAGAGGUGAAAUUCGUAGAUAUUCGGAAGAACACCAGUGGCGAAGGCGACUGACUGGACAAGUAUUGACGCUGAGGUGCGAAAGCGUGGGGAGCAAAC